GACGAACGCUGGCGGCGUGCUUAACACAUGCAAGUCGAACGAAGUGGCAAACGGGUGAGUAACGCGUAAUCAACCUGAUCUUCAAAGGGGGACAACAGUUGGAAACGACAGCAACUACCGCAUAAUGAAGGAGGGGAUUGCGUCUGAUUAGCGAGGUGGAGGGGUAACGGGCAACCAAGGCGAAGAUCAGUAGCCGGUCUGAGAGGAUGAACGGCCAAAUUGGGACUGAGAAACGGCCCAGAAUCCUACGGGAGGCAGCAGUGGGGAAUCUUCCGCAAUGGACGAAAGUCUGACGGAGCAACGCCGCGUGAGUUAUGACGGCCUUCGGGUUGUAAAGCUCUGUUAAUCGGGACGCGGUACCGGAAUAGAAAGCCACGGCUAACUACGUGCCAGCAGCCGCGGUAAUUC
This 408-nucleotide ribosomal RNA is filed under the name uncultured bacterium. RNAcentral's name for it is "partial 16S ribosomal RNA". It matches the Rfam family "Bacterial small subunit ribosomal RNA", at positions 28 to 526 of the family's 1533-position model. The record is from RNAcentral.